Cryptococcus sp. DSM 104549 is the source of this 101-nucleotide non-coding RNA. Lineage: Eukaryota; Fungi; Basidiomycota; Tremellomycetes; Tremellales; Cryptococcaceae. The record is from the annotation of a GenBank genome assembly.
GCCUUUAUAGUGUAGUUGGUUAUCACCGUGGUCUCAUAUUCAUUUAUGAUCUCUGAUUAGAGAGAAAUCCGCUAACCUGAGUUCGAGUCUCAGUAAAGGCA